AUUGAACGCUGGCGGCAUGCCUUACACAUGCAAGUCGAACGGUAACGGGCCUUCGGGUGCCGACGAGUGGCGAACGGGCGAGUAAUACAUCGGAACGUGCCCGAUCGUGGGGGAUAACGAGGCGAAAGCUUUGCUAAUACCGCAUACGAUCUACGGAUGAAAGCAGGGGACCGCAAGGCCUUGCGCGGACGGAGCGGCCGGUGGCAGGUUAGGUAGGUGGUGGGAUAAAAGCUUACCAAGCCGACGAUCGGUAGCUGGUCUGAGAGGAUGAACAGCCACACUGGGACUGAGACACGGCCCAGACUCCUACGGGAGGCAGCAGUGGGGAAUUUUGGACAAUGGGCGCAAGCCUGAUCCAGCCAUGCCGCGUGCAGGAUGAAGGCCUUCGGGUUGUAAACUGCUUUUGUACGGAACGAAAAGCCUUCUUGUAAUACAGGAGGGUCAUGACGGUACCGUAAGAAUAAGCACCGGCUAACUACGUG
This 482-nucleotide ribosomal RNA is filed under the name uncultured bacterium. RNAcentral describes it as "partial 16S ribosomal RNA". It matches the Rfam family "Bacterial small subunit ribosomal RNA", at positions 29 to 507 of the family's 1533-position model. The record is from RNAcentral.